Octopus bimaculoides (California two-spot octopus) is the source of this 515-nucleotide long non-coding RNA. RefSeq lists it as uncharacterized. Lineage: Eukaryota; Metazoa; Mollusca; Cephalopoda; Octopoda; Octopodidae. The record is from RefSeq and is a predicted model, not a curated record.
GCCGCCGUCAUCGCCGGAGUCGCCGUCGUCGCCGCCACCACGUUAGCAGGUCACGUGAUGCUUAGUGUAAGAAACAUGCGCUGAGCAGAAAAGAGUUUCUCUUGUUUAGGAAGUUGAAGCCAAUAUGUUGUGUGUCGCUGCCUUGUAAAAGAGAGAAUGGGUCAAGUACUUAUGCGUCUGAAACUGAAGCGAAGAGGUUUGCGGAGGUCUUUAUUACGUGGACGGUUGCAGUCGACGGUCGGAUCACAAAGUUCUGAAGGUAAGCCAAUUGCAAUUUUUGUGCUCUACAACAAGAAAAGGAUUAAAAAAACCCCCAAAAACCCAAAAAUGUUUUCUCGAAUACUCUAAAGUCUUUCAUUCUUCAUAUCACUAUACCGAAUUGGAAUGGAGAUUCUGGCAAGUAAGAAAUGUCACGUAACAUCGAUAGCACUAUUUUCGUAAAGAAUGAUCUACCAAACACAUCAUAUAUCUAUCUAUUGUGGCUUUUGUUAAUAUUGUAUUUUGAUCUAAAUUAA